RNAcentral lists this long non-coding RNA (210 nucleotides) under Elaeis guineensis (African oil palm). RNAcentral describes it as "long non-coding RNA (EGUI_LNC026427)". Lineage: Eukaryota; Viridiplantae; Streptophyta; Magnoliopsida; Arecales; Arecaceae. The record is from RNAcentral.
AGCUCAUCAUACGAUCGUUCGUGACUGUCGAAAUCGAAUUUUAUUGAUCGACAUAGCUAGAGCUAUCGGAUCGAGGUGGUCUUUUAUAACGAUACUUUAACAAUAAUUAUUUAGAUAAUGAAUGGUGAAAAUAAGCUUUAAAUUUUAAAAUUAUAUCAUCUUCAGAGAAAAAUAAAAAAAGACAUUAUAUUCGAUCGUAAAUAAAUUUUU